This 779-nucleotide ribosomal RNA is filed under the name Chloroflexota bacterium. Its description in RNAcentral is "bacterial SSU rRNA". It matches the Rfam family "Bacterial small subunit ribosomal RNA", at positions 9 to 781 of the family's 1533-position model. The record is from RNAcentral. Lineage: Bacteria; Bacillati; Chloroflexota.
GGGCUUGAUCCUGGCCCGGGGCGAACGGUAGCGGCGUGCCUAACACAUGCAAGUCGGACGCCCCCGGGGGUCUGCCCCCCGGGGGAGUGGCAGACGGCUGCGUAACACGUGCGUGACCUGCCCGCAAGGGCGGGAUACCUCUCCCAAAAGGAGGGAUAAUCCCGCAUGUGCUCCCGGCGCUGCGGCGCCGGGAGGAAAGCCGGAAGGCCUUUGCGGAGGGGCGCGCGGCCUAUCAGGUUGUUGGUGGGGUAAUGGCCCACCAAGCCGAUGACGGGUCGCUGGUCUGGGAGGACGGCCAGCCAGACCGGCACUGAGACACGGGCCGGUCCCCACCGGGGGUCAUCAGUCCCACCGUGGGGGCAGCAGUGGGGAAUCUUGGGCAAUGCGCGCAAGCGUGACCCAGCGACGCCGCGUGGGGGAGGAAGGGCUGCGGCCUGUAAACCCCUGUCGGUCGGAGACGACGCCGGACGGUAUCUGACCCCAGGAAGUCCUGGCCAACCGCGUGCCAGCAGCCGCGGCGACACGCGGAGGGCGACCGUUGCCCCAAGUUAUUGGGCGUAAAGGGCGUGUAGGCGGCCGGGGGAGUCCCCCGUGAAAUCGCCCGGCUCAACCGGGCGCAGCGGGGGAGACCCUCCGGCUUGGGGCCGGUAGAGGGAGACGGAAUUCCCGGUGGAGGGGUGAAAUCCGAUGAGAUCGGGAGGAACGCCGAGCGGCGAAGGCAGUCUCCUGGGCCGGGCCCGACGCUGAGGCGCGAAGGCGUGGGGAGCGAACCGGAUUAG